GGGGAACGGAGCAGCUUGCUGCUUCGCUGACGAGUGGCGGACGGGUGAGUAAUGUCUGGGAAGCUGCCUGAUGGAGGGGGAUAACUACUGGAAACGGUAGCUAAUACCGCAUAAUGUCGCAAGACCAAAGAGGGGGACCUUCGGGCCUCUUGCCAUCGGAUGUGCCCAGAUGGGAUUAGCUUGUUGGUGGGGUAACGGCUCACCAAGGCGACGAUCCCUAGCUGGUCUGAGAGGAUGACCAGCCACACUGGAACUGAGACACGGUCCAGACUCCUACGGGAGGCAGCAGUGGGGAAUAUUGCACAAUGGGCGCAAGCCUGAUGCAGCCAUGCCGCGUGUAUGAAGAAGGCCUUCGGGUUGUAAAGACUUUCAGCGGAGGAAAGGUUGAAGGUUAAUACCCUUCAGCUGUGACGUUACCCACAGAAGAAGCACCGGCUAACUCCGUGCCAGCAGCCGCGGUAAUACGGAGGGUGCGAGCGUUAAUCGGAAUUACUGGGCGUAAAGCGUGCGUAGGCGGCUACCUAAGUUGGAUGUGAAAGCCCCGGGCUCAACCUGGGAACUGCGUCCAAAACUGGGUGGCUAGAGUACGGGAGAGGAGUGUGGAAUUUCCUGUGUAGCGGUGACAUGCGUAGAUAUAAGAAGGAACACCA
Molecule: ribosomal RNA, 650 nt
Filed under: uncultured bacterium
Lineage: Bacteria
Description: bacterial SSU rRNA
Rfam family: Bacterial small subunit ribosomal RNA
Source: RNAcentral